Molecule: ribosomal RNA, 1553 nt
Filed under: Escherichia coli
Lineage: Bacteria; Pseudomonadati; Pseudomonadota; Gammaproteobacteria; Enterobacterales; Enterobacteriaceae
Description: bacterial SSU rRNA
Rfam family: Bacterial small subunit ribosomal RNA
Source: RNAcentral
AAAUUGAAGAGUUUGAUCAUGGCUCAGAUUGAACGCUGGCGGCAGGCCUAACACAUGCAAGUCGAACGGUAACAGGAAGAAGCUUGCUUCUUUGCUGACGAGUGGCGGACGGGUGAGUAAUGUCUGGGAAACUGCCUGAUGGAGGGGGAUAACUACUGGAAACGGUAGCUAAUACCGCAUAACGUCGCAAGACCAAAGAGGGGGGACCUUCGGGCCUCUUGCCAUCGGAUGUGCCCAGAUGGGAUUAGCUAGUAGGUGGGGUAACGGCUCACCUAGGCGACGAUCCCUAGCUGGUCUGAGAGGAUGACCAGCCACACUGGAACUGAGACACGGUCCAGACUCCUACGGGAGGCAGCAGUGGGGAAUAUUGCACAAUGGGCGCAAGCCUGAUGCAGCCAUGCCGCGUGUAUGAAGAAGGCCUUCGGGUUGUAAAGUACUUUCAGCGGGGAGGAAGGGAGUAAAGUUAAUACCUUUGCUCAUUGACGUUACCCGCAGAAGAAGCACCGGCUAACUCCGUGCCAGCAGCCGCGGUAAUACGGAGGGUGCAAGCGUUAAUCGGAAUUACUGGGCGUAAAGCGCACGCAGGCGGUUUGUUAAGUCAGAUGUGAAAUCCCCGGGCUCAACCUGGGAACUGCAUCUGAUACUGGCAAGCUUGAGUCUCGUAGAGGGGGGUAGAAUUCCAGGUGUAGCGGUGAAAUGCGUAGAGAUCUGGAGGAAUACCGGUGGCGAAGGCGGCCCCCUGGACGAAGACUGACGCUCAGGUGCGAAAGCGUGGGGAGCAAACAGGAUUAGAUACCCUGGUAGUCCACGCCGUAAACGAUGUCGACUUGGAGGUUGUGCCCUUGAGGCGUGGCUUCCGGAGCUAACGCGUUAAGUCGACCGCCUGGGGAGUACGGCCGCAAGGUUAAAACUCAAAUGAAUUGACGGGGCCCGCACAAGCGGUGGAGCAUGUGGUUUAAUUCGAUGCAACGCGAAGAACCCACCGGGUCUUGACAUCCACGGAAGUUUUCAGAGAUGAGAAUGUGCCUUCGGGAACCGUGAGACAGGUGCUGCAUGGCUGUCGUCAGCUCGUGUUGUGAAAUGUUGGGUUAAGUCCCGCAACGAGCGCAACCCUUAUCCUUUGUUGCCAGCGGUCCGGCCGGGAACUCAAAGGAGACUGCCAGUGAUAAACUGGAGGAAGGUGGGGAUGACGUCAAGUCAUCAUGGCCCUUACGACCAGGGCUACACACGUGCUACAAUGGCGCAUACAAAGAGAAGCGACCUCGCGAGAGCAAGCGGACCUCAUAAAGUGCGUCGUAGUCCGGAUUGGAGUCUGCAACUCGACUCCAUGAAGUCGGAAUCGCUAGUAAUCGUGGAUCAGAAUGCCACGGUGAAUACGUUCCCGGGCCUUGUACACACCGCCCGUCACACCAUGGGAGUGGGUUGCAAAAGAAGUAGGUAGCUUAACCUUCGGGAGGGCGCUUACCACUUUGUGAUUCAUGACUGGGGUGAAGUCGUAACAAGGUAACCGUAGGGGAACCUGCGGUUGGAUCACCUCCUUACCUUAAAGAAGC